UCAGAUGGCUGGAUGACCGCUGGUUUCGAUCAGAGGAAAGUCCGGGCUCCACGGAACCACGAUGCCGGAUAACGUCCGGCGAGGGUAACCUUAGGGAAAGUGCCACAGAAAACAAACCGCCUGCCGGCUGGCUUGCCAGCGCAGGUAAGGGUGAAACGGUGCGGUAAGAGCGCACCGCGCGACUGGCAACAGAAGCGGCAGGGUAAACCCCAUCGGGAGCAAGACCAGAUAGGAACGCGCGGCCUUCGGGCCAUGGGCUGGUUUCGUCCAGACGUUCGGGUAGGUCGCUUGAGGCGACUGGCAACAGUCGCCCUAGAGGAAUGGUCAUCCAGCGCGCGUGAUCAUCACCGCGUGGACAGAACCCGGCUUACAGGCCAUCUGACCCU
Molecule: RNase P RNA, 386 nt
Filed under: Alphaproteobacteria bacterium
Lineage: Bacteria; Pseudomonadati; Pseudomonadota; Alphaproteobacteria
Description: RNase P RNA component class A
Rfam family: Bacterial RNase P class A
About the family: Ribonuclease P (RNase P) is a ubiquitous endoribonuclease, found in archaea, bacteria and eukarya as well as chloroplasts and mitochondria. Its best characterised activity is the generation of mature 5'-ends of tRNAs by cleaving the 5'-leader elements of precursor-tRNAs.
Source: RNAcentral